CUCCCUCUAAGUCCAGUGUUUCAAUCCUACUCAUUGCUUUGCAGCUUCCACACAAGAUCCCAAACGCUGUGGUCUCACAACUGGCACGCUCCAGGCUGCCCCUGGCCUUCCUGUCCCCAAAUGGCUCUUCCGCAAUAGGGAGCUCCAGCAGCCCCUCUCCUCAAUGCCUCCUUCAUCACCUGUGUCAGAAGAUCUUACCUUUGACACAUUGCAGGAAACUCCUGGAGCCUACCAUGAGAACUGGCCUCACAGCUGUGGGCACCAUUUCCAGCUGUGUGCAGAAGGUCUAUCAGCUUCCUCACCCUAGUCUGUGACCAACACCACCACUCAGGUCACCCACUUUUACCUGCCUCUUCAGCCUCACGCACAAACGCUCCGCUGGUUCUUCAUUCACCCCUAGGUGGAGCUCGAUACGUUCCCGUUCUCUCCCUCGAAGAGAGAGAGACUCCACCGUCUGGCCGGUCUGUCUUUCCUAAAAGGAACAGAGCCAUCCACGACAGCACUCCAGUCGUGCGAGCUGCCCUGCCAGGUCUCCACGGUGGGAACCUAAAUCGUGCUCCUGCAGUUACACGGGAAGGAAGAGGCGGGGAAAAAAAAAAAAAAAAACACGGUCCCAACCUGCUCGCUCCCACCGCUGGAAACGGGAUGGGUGAGAGCACCCGCAAAACACUCCGCAGUGGCCGAGGCCACCCCGGGAUCGUGCUCGGUCUCGGGCGGAGGCCCCGUGCCGGUCCUACUAAAAAAGCCACGCGGGAGCCCAGCGGCGGCGCCGUGCCGAUCCCAAAGACAGAGGCAGUCAAGCAGCAACCCUACAGGAGCCGUAGCACGAGAGAUCUUACCGAGCGACUCUCAAA
RNAcentral lists this long non-coding RNA (854 nucleotides) under Gallus gallus (chicken). Its description in RNAcentral is "lncRNA (ENSGALG00010023609.1)". The record is from RNAcentral. Lineage: Eukaryota; Metazoa; Chordata; Aves; Galliformes; Phasianidae.